UACGGAGGGUGCAAGCGUUAUCCGGAUUCACUGGGUUUAAAGGGUGCGUAGGAGGGCAGGUAAGUCAGUGGUGAAAUCUCCGAGCUUAACUUGGAACUGCCGUUGAUACUAUCUGCCUUGAAUAUUGUGGAGGUGAGCGGAAUAUGUCAUGUAGCGGUGAAAUGCUUAGAUAUGACAUAGAACACCAAUUGCGAAGGCAGCUCGCUACACAUAUAUUGACUCUGAGGCACGAAAGCGUGGGGAUCAAACAGG
This 252-nucleotide ribosomal RNA is filed under the name uncultured bacterium. RNAcentral's name for it is "partial 16S ribosomal RNA". It matches the Rfam family "Bacterial small subunit ribosomal RNA", at positions 524 to 776 of the family's 1533-position model. The record is from RNAcentral.